UAAGAAGUGGAUUUGCAUCUUGGAGCGAAGCAGAACUUGGGGGCUCAUGGAUGUUGCUUUUCCCAUGGGAGCAAUGGAAAGCUUGCCUACCACAGUCACCAAGGGGACCAGGGAUGGAGCUGGCACUGAGGUGAUGAUGUCAUGGUCAUUUAGAUCGCCUUCAUGGAGCUCAUGCUGUGAUUUUCUGCUCUGACACAGCCCCGUGCUGCUGCCAUCUGACACACCUACUAGGGAUUCAAAAGCAAGAAACUGCCCAGUCUUGUCCUGGAGACCCCAGGAUGGACCCCGGAGCCUCUGGUUAGAACAACUUCCAUUGGCAAAUGGGAUGGGAUGCUCGGAAUUGAGUUUAUCACUAGAGCCAAGGUCCUUUCUCCAUCUCUCCGUAAGUCUUGUGUCUUAUCUUCCAAGAGAGCCCCCUGGCCCUCAGAGGUAGCCCGCUGGCUUGAACUUAAUUAGGCAGCGUUUGAAGAUGCUGUCUCCUCUCUGGCAGUCAGCCACCUUAUCUCCUGGUACAGAAAUCCCAGGGGAGAGCUGUUCCCGCCAAGCAAGGCCCCCUUCUU
Long non-coding RNA from Mus musculus (house mouse), 560 nucleotides. RefSeq annotates it as predicted gene, 42342. Lineage: Eukaryota; Metazoa; Chordata; Mammalia; Rodentia; Muridae. The transcript is spliced from 3 exons. The record is from RefSeq and is a predicted model, not a curated record.